AAUGGAGGCAACUCUGACCCAGCCAUGCCGCGUGCAGGAAGAAUGCCUAUGGGUUGUAAACUGCUUUUAUUUAGGAAUAACCCCUUUACGUGUAGAGGGCUGAAUGUACUAAACGAAUAAGCACCGGCUAACUCCGUGCCAGCAGCCGCGGUAAUACGGAGGGUGCAAGCGUUAUCCGGAAUCAUUGGGUUUAAAGGGUCCGCAGGCGGAUGUAUAAGUCAGUGGUGAAAUCCUGCAGCUUAACUGCAGAACUGCCAUUGAUACUGUACAUCUUGAAUUCGGUCGAAGUGGGCGGAAUGUGUAGUAUAGCGGUGAAAUGCAUAGAUAUUACACAGAACACCGAUAGCGAAGGCAGCUCACUAGGCCUGGAUUGACGCUCAGGGACGAAAGCGUGGGGAUCAAACAGGAUU
Molecule: ribosomal RNA, 410 nt
Filed under: uncultured Flavobacteriia bacterium
Lineage: Bacteria; Pseudomonadati; Bacteroidota; Flavobacteriia
Description: bacterial SSU rRNA
Rfam family: Bacterial small subunit ribosomal RNA
Source: RNAcentral